This is a small nuclear RNA of Vicugna pacos (alpaca), 114 nucleotides long. The record is from Ensembl. Lineage: Eukaryota; Metazoa; Chordata; Mammalia; Artiodactyla; Camelidae.
AUGCUCGUUUCGGCAGCACAUAUACUAAAAUUGGAAGGAUGCAGAGAACACUGCAGUGUCCCCUGCUGCAAGGAUGACAUGCAAUUACUUCCAUUAAAACAUUUAAAAAUUUUU